RNAcentral lists this long non-coding RNA (840 nucleotides) under Marmota monax (woodchuck). Lineage: Eukaryota; Metazoa; Chordata; Mammalia; Rodentia; Sciuridae. The record is from RNAcentral.
GCAAUUCUCCUGCCUCAGCCUUCCGGGUAGUUGGUAUUGCAGGCGUGCACCACCACACCUGGCUCAGAAUUUGAUUAAAUUUUCAUGCCCUUUCUUAAUGAAUAUACAUAUCCCAGUGCAGGCCUUAAUUUUUUUUCUUUUUGGUAGAACUCGCCAUAGAAUCUUGUAGAAUGGUAAUUACACAAACCAAGCGCUGCAGGUUGACCCCAAAUUUUCAGUGGGUAUUGAAGGAGGCUAAUUUCCAGUUCUUUUUAUAUAUGCAAAUUGUAUUCACAAAGAAUCACAACCCGGGGCUAGGUUGUGGCUCAGUGGUAGCAUGCUUGCCUAGCAUGCAUGAGGCACUGGGUUCAAUCCUCAGCACUCAUAAAAAUAAAGACAAUAAAGUCCAUCAACAACUAAAAAGAUACUAUUAAAAAAAAAAAAAACAACUAAAAAGAUAUUAAAAAAAAUAAACACAAACCCAAAUACCUUCCUGCCCACUGUUUACAGUGUUCAAGGGCAGAGAUUCUGGUUCUGAUCAUGGCUUUCCUGUUGGCAUGUUGGAGACUGAUCCUCAGACUCCUCCUCUGUAAAAGGGGAGCUUACAGUCUUUACAUUAUGAGGCCCUUUCGAAGAUUACAUGAAAUGUAAUAGUAUUUGAUUCAUGGGUGGGUAGCCCAGCAAAUGGUAGUUGUUAAUAUUGUUUCCAGAUAAGUGAGGAACCUAUCAGAUUUUCUGAGUAUUUGGCUAUUUAAGGAUAUACAUAUCUCGAGUUCAGUGAAUGAACUUUUCCCAUAAUGCUGGAAAGGUUUCAUUUCCCAAUGCAUUUAAUCCCAGAAGCUUAUUGUUCCUGAAAAUGGC